GGGCUGGCCGCUUAUAAUGCUGUCGAGCGGAGAGAAGGGAGCUUGCUCCCGGAUGUUAACGGCGGACGGGUGAGUAACACGUGGGUAACCUGCCUGUGGGACUGGGAUAACUCCGGGAAACCGGAGCUAAUACCGGAUAGUUCCUUGAACCGCAUGGUUCAAGGAUGAAAGACGGUUUCGGCUGUCACUUACAGAUGGACCCGCGGCGCAUUAACUAGUUGGUGGGGUAAUGGCUCACCAAGGCGACGAUGCGUAUCCGACCUGAGAGGGUGAUCGGCCCCCCUGGGACUGAGACACGGCCCAAACUCCUACGGGAGGCAGCAGUAGGGAAUCUUCCGCAAUGGACGAAAGUCUGACGGAGCAACCCCGCGUGAGUGAUGAAGGUUUUCGGAUCGUAAAGCUCUGUUGUUAGGGAAGAACAAGUGCGAGAGUAACUGCUCGCACCUUGACGGUACCUAACCAGAAAGCCACGGCUAACUACGUGCCAGCAGCCGCGGUAAUACGUAGGUGGCAAGCGUUGUCCGGAAUUAUUGGGCGUAAAGGGCUCGCAGGCGGUUUCUUAAGUCUGAUGUGAAAGCCCCCGGCUCAACCGGGGAGGGUCAUUGGAAACUGGGAAACUUGAGUGCAGAAAAGAGAGUGGAAUUCCACGUGUAGCGGUGAAAUGCGUAGAGAUGUGGAGGAACACCAGUGGCGAAGGCGACUCUCUGGUCUGUAACUGACGCUGAAGGAGCGAAAGCGUGGGGAGCGAACAGGAAUUAAAUACCCUGGGUAGUCCCCCGCCGUAAACAAAUGAAUGCUAAGUGUUAGGGGGUUUCCGCCCCCUUAAUGCUGCAACUAACGCAUUUAAAC
Molecule: ribosomal RNA, 849 nt
Filed under: Bacillus sp. CH1
Lineage: Bacteria; Bacillati; Bacillota; Bacilli; Caryophanales; Bacillaceae
Description: bacterial SSU rRNA
Rfam family: Bacterial small subunit ribosomal RNA
Source: RNAcentral